CCUACGGGAGGCUGCAGUGGGGAAUAUUGGGCAAUGGGCGCAAGCCUGACCCAGCAACGCCGCGUGAAGGAAGAAGUCUUUCGGGUUGUAAACUUCUUUUCUCAGGGACGAAGAAAGUGACGGUACCUGAGGAAUAAGCCACGGCUAACUACGUGCCAGCAGCCGCGGUAAUACGUAGGGGGCAAGCGUUAUCCGGAUUUAUUGGGUGUAAAGGGCGCGUAGGCGGUAGCGCAAGUCUGAUGUGAAAACGCAGGGCUCAACCCUGAGCCUGCAUUUGAAACUGUGUUACUUGAGUGCUGGAGAGGCAGGCGGAAUUCCGGGUGUAGCGGUGAAAUGCGUAGAUAUAAGGAGGAACACCAGUGGCGAAGGCGGAUUGCUGGACAGUAACUGACGCUGAGGCGCGAAAGCGUGGGGAGCAAACAGGAUUAGAUACCCGGGUAGUC
RNAcentral lists this ribosomal RNA (443 nucleotides) under uncultured bacterium. RNAcentral describes it as "partial 16S ribosomal RNA". It matches the Rfam family "Bacterial small subunit ribosomal RNA", at positions 338 to 795 of the family's 1533-position model. The record is from RNAcentral.